RNAcentral lists this ribosomal RNA (420 nucleotides) under bacterium. Its description in RNAcentral is "partial 16S ribosomal RNA". It matches the Rfam family "Bacterial small subunit ribosomal RNA", at positions 355 to 776 of the family's 1533-position model. The record is from RNAcentral.
UGGGGGAUAUUGCACAAUGGGCGAAAGCCUGAUGCAGCGACGCCGCGUGGGGGAUGAAGGCUUUCGGGUUGUAAACCUCUUUCGCUACCGAACAAGGCCCGCUUAGGGUGGGUUGAGGGUAGGUGGAGAAGAAGCGCCGGCUAACUACGUGCCAGCAGCCGCGGUAAUACGUAGGGCGCGAGCGUUGUCCGGAAUUAUUGGGCGUAAAGGGCUUGUAGGCGGCUUGUUGCGCCUGCUGUGAAAACGCGGGGCUUAACUUCGCGCGUGCAGUGGGUACGGGCAGGCUUGAGUGUGGUAGGGGUGACUGGAAUUCCAGGUGUAGCGGUGGAAUGCGCAGAUAUCUGGAGGAACACCGAUGGCGAAGGCAGGUCACUGGGCCAUUACUGACGCUGAGGAGCGAAAGCAUGGGUAGCGAACAGG